RNAcentral lists this ribosomal RNA (253 nucleotides) under uncultured bacterium. RNAcentral's name for it is "partial 16S ribosomal RNA". It matches the Rfam family "Bacterial small subunit ribosomal RNA", at positions 524 to 776 of the family's 1533-position model. The record is from RNAcentral.
CACGUAGGGGGCGAGCGUUGUCCGGAUUCAUUGGGCGUAAAGCGCGCGUAGGCGGCUCGGAAAGUCGGUCGUGAAAUGCCGGGGCUCAACCCCGGGACUGCGUCCGAUACUCCCGGGCUGGAGGCAGGUAGGGGAGAUCGGAAUUCCUGGUGUAGCGGUGAAAUGCGCAGAUAUCAGGAGGAACACCGGUGGCGAAGGCGGAUCUCUGGGCCUUGCCUGACGCUGAGGCGCGAAAGCUAGGGGAGCGAACAGG